AAGCCAUAUGGCGACAUAGAGCGGAACCCGAAAACCUGUCUCAGUUCGGAUUGGAGUCUGCAACCCGACUCCAUGAAGCUGGAUUCGCUAGUAAUCGCGCAUCAGCCACGGCGCGGUGAAUACGUUCCCGGGCCUUGUACACACCGCCCGUCAAGCCAUGGAAGCCGGGAGUGCCUGAAGUGCGUGAGCGCAAGCAGCGCCCUAAGGUAAAACCGGUGACUGGGGCUAAGUCGUAACAAGGUAUC
Molecule: ribosomal RNA, 245 nt
Filed under: uncultured bacterium
Lineage: Bacteria
Description: partial 16S ribosomal RNA
Rfam family: Bacterial small subunit ribosomal RNA
Source: RNAcentral